This 619-nucleotide ribosomal RNA is filed under the name Clostridioides difficile. RNAcentral describes it as "bacterial SSU rRNA". It matches the Rfam family "Bacterial small subunit ribosomal RNA", at positions 197 to 841 of the family's 1533-position model. The record is from RNAcentral. Lineage: Bacteria; Bacillati; Bacillota; Clostridia; Peptostreptococcales; Peptostreptococcaceae.
AAUAUCAAAGGUGAGCCAGUACAGGAUGGACCCGCGUCUGAUUAGCUAGUUGGUAAGGUAACGGCUUACCAAGGCGACGAUCAGUAGCCGACCUGAGAGGGUGAUCGGCCACAUUGGAACUGAGACACGGUCCAAACUCCUACGGGAGGCAGCAGUGGGGAAUAUUGCACAAUGGGCGAAAGCCUGAUGCAGCAACGCCGCGUGAGUGAUGAAGGCCUUCGGGUCGUAAAACUCUGUCCUCAAGGAAGAUAAUGACGGUACUUGAGGAGGAAGCCCCGGCUAACUACGUGCCAGCAGCCGCGGUAAUACGUAGGGGGCUAGCGUUAUCCGGAUUUACUGGGCGUAAAGGGUGCGUAGGCGGUCUUUCAAGUCAGGAGUGAAAGGCUACGGCUCAACCGUAGUAAGCUCUUGAAACUGGGAGACUUGAGUGCAGGAGAGGAGAGUGGAAUUCCUAGUGUAGCGGUGAAAUGCGUAGAUAUUAGGAGGAACACCAGUUGCGAAGGCGGCUCUCUGGACUGUAACUGACGCGGAGGCACGAAAGCGUGGGGAGCAAACAGGAUUAGAUACCCUGGUAGUCCACGCUGUAAACGAUGAGUACUAGGUGUCGGGGGUUACCCCC